Molecule: ribosomal RNA, 1403 nt
Filed under: beta proteobacterium endosymbiont of Nesophrosyne sp.
Lineage: Bacteria; Pseudomonadati; Pseudomonadota; Betaproteobacteria
Description: bacterial SSU rRNA
Rfam family: Bacterial small subunit ribosomal RNA
Source: RNAcentral
AGUCGAACGUAGAUUUUUCUAAGUGGCGAACGGGUGAGUAAUACACUGUUAUAUGCCUCACAAUGGGGGAUACGUUGAUGAGAAUUAACAUAAUACCGCAUAAUAAUAAUCUAAGGAUUAAAGUGGGGAAAACCUCAUGUUGUGAUAUUAGAUGGUGUCUGAUUAGUUUGUUGGUUUUUAGUUUAAAAGACUACCAAGACUUUUAUCGGUAGCUAUUCUUUGCGGAUGUAUAGCCACACUGGGAUUGAGAUAAGGCCCAGACUCUUACGGGAGGCAGCAGUGGGGAAUAUUGGACAAUGGGCGCAAGCCUGAUCCAGCAAUGUCGCGUGUGUGAUGAAGGUUUAUAAAACUGUAAAACACUUUUUUUAAGGAAUAAAAAAUUUUAACUAAUAAUUAAAAUUAAUGAAUGUACUUAAAGAAUAAGUACCGGCUAAUCACGUGCCAGCAGCCGCGGUAAGACGUGAGGUGCUAGCGUUAAUCAGAAUAAUUGGGCGUAAAGUGUGUUCCGGCUGUUUAAAAAGAUUUAUAUUAAAUAUUUAGGUUUAACCUAAAAAAUGUAUAGAUUACUUUUAAACUUGAGUUUAAUAUAAGGAAAUAGAAUUUUGUGUGUAGCGGUGAAAUGUGCAGAGAUACAAAGGAAUACCGAAGGCGAAAGCAUUUUUCUUGGUUAAAACUGACGCUUAUACACGAAAGCGUGGGGAGCAAACAGGAUUAGAUACCCUGGUAGUCCACGCCCUAAACUAUGUCGAUUAGCUAUUAGAUUGUAUUUUAGUAGCGAAGCUAACGCGUUAAAUCGACCGCCUGGGGACUACGAUCGCAAGAUUAAAACUCAAAGGAAUUGACGGGGACCAGCACAAGCGGUGGAUGAUGUGGAUUAAUUCGAUGAUACACGAAAAACCUUACCUGCUCUUGACAUGGUUAGAAUUUUAUUGAAAAAUAAAAGUGCUUGAAAAAGAGCUAACACACAGGUGCUGCAUGGCUGUUGUCAGCUCGUGUCGUGAGAUGUUGGGUUAAGUCCCGCAACGAGCGCAACCCCCACUCUUAGUUGCUAAACUUUUAAGUACUUUAAGAGAACUGCCGACGAUAAGUCUUGGAGGAAGGAGGGGAAGACUUCAAGUCCUCAUGGCCCUUAUGAGCAGGGCUUCACACGUCAUACAAUGGUUGAUACAAUAAGUUGCAAAAUUGCGAAAUGGAGCCAAUCUAAAAAAUCAAUCUCAGUUCGGAUUGUACUCUGCAACUCGAGUGCAUGAAGUUGGAAUCGCUAGUAAUCGCAGAUCAGCAUGCUGCGGUGAAUACGUUAACUGGUCUUGUACACACCGCCCGUCACACCAUGGAAAUGAGUUUUAUUUGAAAUAAAGAUUUUUAACUUUUAAAAAGAAAAAUUUUUAUUAUAAUAAAAUUUG